UCAAGAACCUUCCGCAAUGGGCGAAAGCCUGACGGAGCGACGCCGCGUGAUCGAUGAAGUCCUUCGGGAUGUAAAGGUCUUUUGUGAGGGAGAAAGUUUAUUGAUAGUACCUCAAGAAUAAGGAGUUGCUAAACUCGUGCCAGCAGCAGCGGUAAUACGAGUGCUCCAAGCGUUAUCCGGAAUCAUUGGGCGUAAAGGGUGUGUAGGCGGUCAUACUAGUCUUUUGUUAAAACCUCCGGCUUAACCGGAGACCUGCGAGAGAAACGGUAUGACUUGAGAGUACGAGGGGUCUCUGGAACUCAUGGUGUAGCGGUGAAAUGCGUUGAUAUCAUGGGGAACACCAAAAGCGAAGGCAAGAGACUGGCGUAUUUCUGACGCUGAGACACGAAAGCGUGGGUAGCGAAUGGG
Molecule: ribosomal RNA, 408 nt
Filed under: uncultured bacterium
Lineage: Bacteria
Description: bacterial SSU rRNA
Rfam family: Bacterial small subunit ribosomal RNA
Source: RNAcentral